This is a regulatory RNA element of Geodermatophilus obscurus DSM 43160, 80 nucleotides long. It matches the Rfam family "Actino-pnp RNA". NCBI's taxonomy places the organism in Bacteria, Bacillati, Actinomycetota, Actinomycetes, Geodermatophilales, Geodermatophilaceae. The record is from Rfam.
GUCGGUCCUCGGUAGUGGCCCCCGGGCACGCCCCUCCGCGCGAGGGGAACGACUCCCGUGGGCUUCGAUCGAAGACCGGU